RNAcentral lists this long non-coding RNA (102 nucleotides) under Bos indicus x Bos taurus (hybrid cattle). RNAcentral's name for it is "lncRNA (ENSBIXG00000023309.1)". Lineage: Eukaryota; Metazoa; Chordata; Mammalia; Artiodactyla; Bovidae. The record is from RNAcentral.
CUCAGGGUCCGGAUGCUGUCUUCAUCCCGCUCUGGACCAGAGGGGACCAGGCCUCAUGGCACUUACAGGAAGAGCAUCUCUACAGGUCCGUGCCAAGAGUAA